Molecule: long non-coding RNA, 947 nt
Filed under: Malus domestica (apple)
Lineage: Eukaryota; Viridiplantae; Streptophyta; Magnoliopsida; Rosales; Rosaceae
Description: long non-coding RNA (MDOM_LNC012603)
Source: RNAcentral
AGUCGCGGGAUGUCCAAGUUGCUGAACAGUAGUCUUAUAGGUAGCCUUUAAGAUUUUCUUUGUUUUCCUUGUUGCUUUUUCCUUUGCUUGAACUCCUUCAACCUUUGUUAUUUGUUUAUCAAUUUUGCUAGAAAAUUUAAUAAACUUGCUUCAUUCUCUUUUCUUCAUCUUCACUUUUUUUGUUUACGCCCAACCUUUAACCUUUAGACCAGCGGCAUAUGUGUUGCUUUUCUAUAAGAAAACAGGCCAACGUAGCCUAUACAGUCGUAGGUGUUGGUGUAGAACUUUUGCAAAGUUGUUAGCCAUAGGGUCGACAAUCGGACUCCUUACUUACAGAAGCAGACGAGUCCGCAUGACCACUUGGCUAUUAACCUUGGCUUUCUUCAAUCCUUUAAGUUAUUUGGCCUGCAUCACAACAUACUAAAAAUUUUUGGGUUAUGAAAUUCGCUAGCCGUUCAUAUCAAAAGUACGCGGUUGUAUGAAAUUUCGUAAGCAAGGGUCUGAGAAAACUCCUUAUCUUUUUUGUAACAAAUUCCAUGGGUUGCAUAGCAAGUAUCACAACACUUUAGGAAUUAGUAUAGAUCCAAAUGAUCAUUCCGCACUUGGGAGAGGUGAAGCUUAUUGACUGUAUAGGAUGUCAGCAAUGGAUAGAGCUUUGUAUAUGCACACUAACUUGUUUAACCUUUCACAAAAAUGUGCGGUUGUAUAAGUUUAGCGCGGCUUACUGCCCGAAGGGCAAGCCUUAGGCAAUCUUCCGAAAACUGUAGGCUACCUUAAUGCACUCAAUAGCCAUUUAAAUGUUCCAGGGCAGCCGUCCAUAGGGCGUAUUGCGUAAUGUGCCUCCUUCGUCUCUGAGGCCCGGUUCUUCGUGUAUUAGGCCAAGAGACCCAAACUCCUUUAGUUAACUAAGCCUUGAAAAAGACCAUUGUGACUACUUCUAGGAAUCC